UCGAUGAAGAACGCAGCGAAAUGCGAUAAGUAAUGUGAAUUGCAGAAUUCAGUGAAUCAUCGAAUCUUUGAACGCACCUUGCGCCCUUUGGUAUUCCGAAGGGCAUGCCUGUUUGAGUGUCAUUAAAUUCUCAACCUUGCUCGCCUUUACCGGCUUGAGUGAGGCUUGGACGUGAGGGCUUUGCUGGCUUCCUUAAGUGGAUGGUCUGCUCCCUUUAAAUGCAUUAGUGGGAUCUCUUGUGGACCGUCACUUGGUGUGAUAAUUAUCUACGCCUCGUCGACUUUGAAGCAAACUUAUGGGAACCUGCUUAUAACCGUCUCGCAAGAGACAACUUUCUGACAUUUUGACCUCAAAUCAGGUAGGACUACCCGCUGAACUUAA
RNAcentral lists this ribosomal RNA (381 nucleotides) under uncultured Mycena. Its description in RNAcentral is "eukaryotic LSU rRNA". The stretch from base 1 to 122 matches the Rfam family "5.8S ribosomal RNA", at positions 33 to 154 of the family's 154-position model. The record is from RNAcentral. Lineage: Eukaryota; Fungi; Basidiomycota; Agaricomycetes; Agaricales; Tricholomataceae.